AAAAAUAGUUGUAUUUGUAAGCUGUGGAAUAAACAUUUAGCAAAUAUCCGUUAAAUGAUUCUUUGCAAUAAAGCCAAUCCAUGAGUAAAUGAUGAUGAAGGUGGUAAAAUGAAAUUACUGAAAUAACAAACGGAAUGAUAAACUUAUAUAUAUAUCCAGCUCAAGAAGUCGUGGGUUAAUAAUGAUUACACAAAUGAUCAAAAUUACAACACAUCAUGCAGAGUGCCGCUUAAUGAGUAAAAUAAAAAACAAAAUACAAGUCCAUCUGUAACAAUAUGAAUGACAUUUCUGGUUUGUCAUUAACAACAAAAGUAUGGUUUGUUGUACAACAAAAUGCAGUCACAAAUUAACAACAACAAAAACAUUUAAAUUAUUUUUAACUUUUUAUAGCGAGAAAAAAACAACAAAAUUAAAACCGAAAAAAAUUAACAUAUUUUGAAGUGUGUAUUUUAAAAAUUUCAUUCAUUGAGACACUCAGAAUCACGGUGACAGAAUGAGUGAGUGUGUGUGUGUGUAUGCGUGUAAACGAAUGCGUGUGUGGAAAGCGGAGAUCUCAAUAAAGGAGUGGAAGGCCAAGAGGCCGGGAUUAAAUUGAUUUAAGACAGAGACUUACAGUUUAAUUUUAUGGCGUUGGCCUCCUCCCAGUUUAUAAUUUAUUUAUAUAAGAUUCUUUUAACUGUUGUUGUUGUUGUUUUUGAAAUUUCUUGUUUUAAUGAUUGAUGUUAACAUAUUUAAUUGGUUUUAGGAAGUGACGUCAUUUUACACCCAUACAAACACAAAAAUUAAAGCAAUUUUUUUAUAAUAAGUUUUUAUUUAAAAUUUUAAACAAUUACAGCAACAUUCUCACUCAUACGCUCACACUCAAUUAAAUUAACACUCAUUUAAUACAACAACAAUAAGAGAAAAGAAAAAAACAAACUGCAAAGAUGAAUUAAAUAAAAUUAUAUUGUGAAAUACACAAAAGUGUCAAUAACCCUAAAAUUUUUGUUUUUAUAAUUUUUAAUAUUAUUAUUAAUUAUAUUAAAAUUUAAAACAGACCAUCUACAAUAGGGAGAGUGCAAAAAUAGACCAGAGAAAGAGAGCAAAAGUGGUAAAAUACAUAGAAACAAAUAAUUUUAUUUAAAACAAAAUUAAAAAAAAAAUAAAUUAAAUUAAAAAAUUCUACUCGUACCUUAAAUAUCAAGAUAAAUAAUAAACACAACUAGAAACAAAAUAAAAUAGCAGCAAAAACAACAACAACAAAAUACAUAUAUUUAUAAAAAAAUAUAUAUAUAAAAAAAUGGCAAGAAAUAUUAUCAACAGCCUUGAAAAAGUUUAAAUACCUUUUUUAAAAAAAAAUUUAUAUACGAAAUGUAUACAAACAAACAACACAGCAACAAAUUGUAUUCAAAACAACAACAAGAACAACAUCCAUACUAGUAAAAUAAACUGAUUCUACACUUCGAAUGACGUGACGGAUGAUGAUGGGCCAGACCAGCAUUGGAGAGGAGUUAAACAAGAACUAUGUGAUGAAAAAAAGUAGAACCGAAGAAGAAGAGAUGCAUCCACAAUGAAAAAAAAACAAGUCUCACCACUACCAACAGCAGCAAAAGAAAUCUACAACGCAGAAAAUGGUUAACAAAACUGUCUUAAAGGAUUUUUGUUGUUUUUUUUUUUGUUCAUCUUCUACUUUUUUAAACAAUCGAUUUCAGUUUUUUUUAUUUAUUUUUCUUUAAAUAAACAUUGUCAUUCUCUGCACAUUUUGUUUAAAAAACAAAUUUUUUGAUUUAUUUUUUUAAAUUAAUAUAUUUUAUCUAAAGUUUGAAAUCUUUUUGGCUUAAAACAUUUUAAAUGCCUUAAGGGUGUCUUUUUGAAUAAAAAUUUAGUUUCUUAAAACCUACAGUAUUGCACAAAU
Molecule: long non-coding RNA, 1894 nt
Organism: Lucilia cuprina (Australian sheep blowfly)
Lineage: Eukaryota; Metazoa; Arthropoda; Insecta; Diptera; Calliphoridae
Exons: 3
Source: RefSeq, a predicted model, not a curated record